This 497-nucleotide ribosomal RNA is filed under the name Aphanomyces sp. RNAcentral's name for it is "partial large subunit ribosomal RNA". It matches the Rfam family "Eukaryotic large subunit ribosomal RNA", at positions 448 to 835 of the family's 3401-position model. Lineage: Eukaryota; Oomycota; Saprolegniomycetes; Saprolegniales; Verrucalvaceae. The record is from RNAcentral.
UUCAUUGGCGGUUGCAAAAUUGCUGGUGCCCUGUGCAUGGGUGUGACGUCAGAGUCAGUUUAAAUUGCGGGAGAUGGGUGGGGAGGAGGUGCGUCACUUCGGUGAAAGUUACAGCUCUCUGCUUAGUAGCCGUGGUUAAGACUGAGGUGCCUACAACAUGCUUUGUGGUCUGCUGCUGUCUCGUUUUAGUGAUUAUCUGGAUAGCUUGCUAUGCUGGUGAUUAGUGAGGCGAUUGAUGGUGGUAGUAACUACUGCUGUUCGGGACUCUGGCGAAAUGGAGCGAUACGACCCGUCUUGAAACACGGACCAAGGAGUCUAACAUGUGUGCAAGUAUUAGGGUGUGGAAACCCAAAUGCGCAAUGAAAGUAAAGGACACAUUAGUGUCUGUGGUAGGAAGGAGCUGUAAUGGUUCUGGCACUAUCGACCGAUCAUGAACCUCCGGGUGAAAGAUUUGAGUAUGAGCAUAUAUGUUGGUACCCGAAAGAUGGUGAACUAUG